UCCGCCCAGAUUUUUGAAUCUCUC
RNAcentral lists this small nuclear RNA (24 nucleotides) under Arabidopsis thaliana (thale cress). Its description in RNAcentral is "snRNA_04349". The record is from RNAcentral. Lineage: Eukaryota; Viridiplantae; Streptophyta; Magnoliopsida; Brassicales; Brassicaceae.